AAAAUCAAAAAUCAAAAUCAAAAGAAGAAAAGGGAAAAAUUAAGGGAAAAAAUAUAAACCUUUUAUAUAUGCAUAUUUAUAUUAAAGAAGAAUUCAAAAUCAGUAUCAAAAUCAAAAAAUCUAUGUAUACAAAAUUUGAAAAAGCAAGAAUAAAAAUUUUUUUUUUUCCCCACAGGCCCCUGUAUUAGGGUCCAGUUAAGUAAUUUCUAAUCCCUCAAGUCUGUAGGACAGAAUGCAGCAUAUUUUACUUCCCCAUUUGCAGCCAAGGCUACAGGAAGUUGCCAUACUAUAGGAGAGAAAAAAAAAAAAGCCCAGGUGGAAAGAAUCAGUCCUUAACUCACGUGACCGAUCUGAAGGAAAGCUGUCUGCGGGCGUCCUCUCUGUCCAAGCUCCUAACACCCACUCCCCCUAGCUCUCUCCACAGGAAGUCAGCGAAUUCCAGAGGCUGUUCCCUACCUCACUUCCUGUGUCUCACAAAUCCAAUGGUUGGCUCUAGCUUGGCUUAGGACAGCCCAGGUGGGCAGUUAGUUAUUUCUGAUUUGUCAUUGACUAGCGCAUGCCCAUGUAGUGUGGGUGUGCACAAUUUUUUUGUGCUAGACCAAGAUGGAGACUUUUAAAAUUCACACAACCACCAUAACCUCUGCAAGUAGUCAUAGUUUAGUUUCCUCAUUGCCUGCUUUAAUUCCUUCCAUUUCUUUUUCUUUUCUUUCUAUUUCCUCUUUUGAUGAAUUACUAGAAUGAUAAAUUAGGGAAUUUUAUUUAUGUGGUUUACAAAGAUUUUGCUGAAACUUAAGACAAACCAUCUCAUGUUAUUCCUGUAGAAAAGAUGGAUGGUUGUGGGUUGUACUUCAAUAAUUUCAAGUCAAUUUUGAACUAUUUUGAAUGAGUAGAUGCAAAAAAACAGGGUAUUUUUGAUUCUAGGUUUUAUUUUGUUUUUCUGGCUGUGAUUUAGUUUAUACCAGUAGAGUGAGUAGGAAAUGUAAUUUGGGGAAAACUCAUAUAUCCACAUUCAGUAAAACAUCAAUAAUUAAACAGAUAUCCCAAGGGCAGUGGAAAUACAACUCAACCU
Molecule: long non-coding RNA, 1069 nt
Filed under: Monodelphis domestica (gray short-tailed opossum)
Lineage: Eukaryota; Metazoa; Chordata; Mammalia; Didelphimorphia; Didelphidae
Description: lncRNA (ENSMODG00000049310.1)
Source: RNAcentral